This 300-nucleotide long non-coding RNA is filed under the name Glycine max (soybean). RNAcentral's name for it is "long non-coding RNA (GMAX_LNC000191)". The record is from RNAcentral. Lineage: Eukaryota; Viridiplantae; Streptophyta; Magnoliopsida; Fabales; Fabaceae.
GGGGGUUGAUGUGGAUGGAAGGUGAUAGAUGACUAGUAAUAAGAAAAGGGAAAUGACUAAGGAAAGAGGGUUUCCCCUAAGGGAUAAAUCCUAGGUUUUUGAUUGAGACUCGGUGUAUCUUUUCCUUCUACUUUCUCCUUCUUAUAUAGGCACCAGAUAGCUUACUUUUCUCGUUGACUUCGCGUUUAAUGCGGACUUUCGCGAUAAGCACACCUUUGAGCUUCUUCGUGGGCCUUUUUCGCGUUAAUCGUGUGUUGUACGCUGAGCGAGAGUGCACGUUGGGCCUGUCUAGUACGCUAA